RNAcentral lists this ribosomal RNA (449 nucleotides) under uncultured bacterium. Its description in RNAcentral is "bacterial SSU rRNA". It matches the Rfam family "Bacterial small subunit ribosomal RNA", at positions 28 to 480 of the family's 1533-position model. The record is from RNAcentral.
GAUGAACGCUAGCGGCAGGCCUGACACAUGCAAGUCGAGGGAGAAGCCUUUCGGGGCAGAAACCGGCGCACGGGUGCGUAACGCGUAUGCAACCUACCUUUCACAGGGGGAUAGCCCGAAGAAAUUUGGAUUAAUACCCCAUAAUAUUGUUGGAUGGCAUCAUCUGAUAAUUAAAACUGAGGUGGUGAAAGAUGGGCAUGCGUCCUAUUAGCUAGUUGGAGUGGUAACGGCACCCCAAGGCUACGAUAGGUAGGGGUCCUGAGAGGGAGACCCCCCACACUGGUACUGAGACAGGGACCAGACUCCUACGGGAGGCAGCAGUGAGGAAUAUUGGUCAAUGGUCGGAAGACUGAACCAGCCAUGCCGCGUGCAGGAAGAAUGCCUUAUGGGUUGUAAACUGCUUUUAUAUGGGAAGAAUAAGGUGUACGUGUACAUUGANGACGGUNCCA